ACACAUGCAAGUCGAACGAAGCAUUUGCGACAGAUUUCUUCGGGAUGAAGUUGCUUAUGACUGAGUGGCGGACGGGUGAGUAACGCGUGGGUAACCUGCCUUGUACUGGGGGAUAGCAGCUGGAAACGGCUGGUAAUACCGCAUAAGCGCACAAUGUUGCAUGACAUGGUGUGAAAAACUCCGGUGGUAUAAGAUGGACCCGCGUCUGAUUAGCUAGUUGGUGAGAUAACAGCCCACCAAGGCGACGAUCAGUAGCCGACCUGAGAGGGUGACCGGCCACAUUGGGACUGAGACACGGCCCAGACUCCUACGGGAGGCAGCAGUGGGGAAUAUUGCACAAUGGAGGAAACUCUGAUGCAGCGACGCCGCGUGAGUGAAGAAGUAAUUCGUUAUGUAAAGCUCUAUCAGCAGGGAAGAUAGUGACGGUACCUGACUAAGAAGCUCCGGCUAAAUACGUGCCAGCAGCCGCGGUAAUACGUAUGGAGCAAGCGUUAUCCGGAUUUACUGGGUGUAAAGGGAGUGUAGGUGGCCAUGCAAGUCAGAAGUGAAAAUCCGGGGCUCAACCCCGGAACUGCUUUUGAAACUGUAAGGCUAGAGUGCAGGAGGGGUGAGUGGAAUUCCUAGUGUAGCGGUGAAAUGCGUAGAUAUUAGGAGGAACACCAGUGGCGAAGGCGGCUCACUGGACUGUAACUGACACUGAGGCUCGAAAGCGUGGGG
Molecule: ribosomal RNA, 717 nt
Filed under: uncultured bacterium
Lineage: Bacteria
Description: bacterial SSU rRNA
Rfam family: Bacterial small subunit ribosomal RNA
Source: RNAcentral